Molecule: ribosomal RNA, 158 nt
Filed under: Alternaria alternata
Lineage: Eukaryota; Fungi; Ascomycota; Dothideomycetes; Pleosporales; Pleosporaceae
Description: 5.8S ribosomal RNA
Rfam family: 5.8S ribosomal RNA (bases 1-130)
About the family: 5.8S ribosomal RNA (5.8S rRNA) is a component of the large subunit of the eukaryotic ribosome. It is transcribed by RNA polymerase I as part of the 45S precursor that also contains 18S and 28S rRNA.
Source: RNAcentral
UUCUGGCAUCGAUGAAGAACGCAGCGAAAUGCGAUAAGUAGUGUGAAUUGCAGAAUUCAGUGAAUCAUCGAAUCUUUGAACGCACAUUGCGCCCUUUGGUAUUCCAAAGGGCAUGCCUGUUCGAGCGUCAUUUGUACCCUCAAGCUUUGCUUGGUGUU